CACAAAUGGGCUCCACUUGAUUCUAAAUAAUAAAAGCCAAAAUCAAAACAGAAGAAUCAUUUAUAAUCUGAAAUGACUGGUCAGCACAUAGUUAAAACCACCUACCUGGAUAUUUACAGAAAGGUUGCUUAGUUAAGGUUUCCAUUACUGGAAAAAAUCGUUCCAACUCCGAGGAAAAGAUCAAAAUUCGUCCUUACAAAUAUACGAAAGCAAAAAAAAAAAAAAAAAAAAAAAAGGAAUUUUUGACGGGGGAAAGAAGCACAGUGAUGACACAUUCUCUUGGUUUGUCUUGUAAAGGUGUUCUUACAUUUUUAGAAUGAAAGAAGUACAGGCAAAUACCACUACCUAAGGAGAUUCUUAGAUUCUUCUUCUACAAUGAUCAUGGUUUGAAACACAGACAUAAUGUGGUUAAUCUGCAACAAACUAUACACGGAAACUGAAACUGAAACUGAUGAUGGCUGGCUGAUUGGAUGAACUCUGGAUACUGUGAUAAUUGUCCUGUUAUAACUUCAUUGACAGUUGAGGGCAACAACUAGACCUUAGUGAGAACUUCACCAUGAACACCUUUAAGCUUUGCUGUGCAUUUGUGAUUCUUCUCACACUGAUGAAAGGAGCGCUUUUUCUGACCUGUGGGUUUUCUAAGUUUACCGAAGGCCUGAGUAAAGAAGAAAAAAGUUUUAUCAAUAUCAACUACACCAUCAACGUUAUGGCAAGUCCUGAUGUUACAGACACACUUAACGCUGAUUAUCAAGUAUGUGAAGGAAACUCUCUGAGAACUGCAUGUAUAUUUGUCUACGACAAAAACUUUAACGAGUUUAAGAAGGACGUGAGUGGAAGGACAGGAGUCACCUGCUACUGGGAACAACGACACGUGAGCAGCUCUGUGGUGGCUUUAGACAUCUACAUCUCUCAGGUCGUCACCAGGUCACUGAGUGCGAUGAUAAUCUCCACUGGCAGAGGUGGGGAUCCCAAACCUACCCGACUGAUACAUGUUGAGGUGUUGUACCCACCCAAUGUCAAGAGUCUGACUGUGGACGGGGGCGAUAAUGUCAUCAUCGAUGAGGACAAGGUGGUUAGUGUUUCCUGCUUCUUUGAGAAGGGCAAUCCCCCAGGUCUCUUCUAUUUGCUGGAUAAACAUGGAGCUAAGCUGAAUUCCUCUAGUUCUGAAGGACACCUUAGCUACUCUCUUACUGCCCGGUGUGAAGAUGACUGGCCAGUCGUCAGGUGUGAAGGCAACGGGUCGCAACAUAAUAUGUCCAUGGCAAUACUCGUCAAGUGUCGUCCUCAGUUUGUUUACAAGUCAACGAAAAUCAUCAAUCAUGGUGUUGACACUGUAACGUUUGGUGUCAAGGCUCACACCACAGCAGUCAAUGGAUGCCUCUUGACAUUACUCACUUUACAAGAAAACAACACUAGGGAAGUGAACUGCAUCCUUACUGGGAAUCCACCUGACCUCGUCCUAAGUCUUCAGCUCGAGAGAGACGACAGUUUCCGUGGAAACUGGACAUUGAUACUAAGCAAUGACUGGGGCUCUUCCAACACAACUUUCAUUGUGUUAGAUGAGUCAACACCAGAGCUAACUUCAGGGACAACAAUAAACAUCGAACUCGUGUGCGGCAUUGUGGCUGCUGUAGCUUUGAUCGCUGUUGCUGGUAUUUGUGCCAAUAGAAAGGUCAAAGUGCAAAGAUAUGAUACGAUUUUUAAAAAAGGUAAUGACUUUAAAUGUAGCCAAUAAGAUGGCUCUAAUAAUACCUGAAUACUGUUAGUUCUAAUUUUAAGAAGUAAACACACACAGUUUUGUUCAAAUUAGCAAUAGCUAACUUUUAAAAUAUUUUGUUGUGUCGAUUUCUGUCUUUGUUUGUAAUUGCUGUAUGUAUACAUUUUGAAAUGACAGAGUCACCAGCUCUGUUUUGUUUUUGUGAAUUAAGUAAAAUUAGGGGGAGGGGCAGCAAAGAAGUAGCGGAGAACCCCAGAGAAUAUCCGACUUGCUUUAUGUAUCUAAAGUGCGAUAUCAGACGAGUUCGUAUUAAACUGUUGUUCAAUGCACAUCAUCAAGUACGAUCUAUGCGCCCCAGGGUUAAAUGAAGAGAAACUUAACCCUCCCUGUUCCCCACGAGUGUAUUUACUAUAAUUCAUAUAAGUCACCGCUUAGUAUGAACACCGACAGACAUAUUGGAUGUUUGUACGCGUCCGUGGUAUGAGGAAUGGAAAACGCCAGCGACAUCUUUCUUUGGUAAGUACAUUUAAUUUUCAUGGUAUCUAUCUAUUUCAAACAUAAUUAACAUCUAGACUUAUCAAUGAAGUCUUGAAAUAAUUUUCUCCAAAAACUUUUUUUUUCGUAAAUAAAUCAUGUAUCGAGGGAUUUUAAUCAACUAAUAAACGUGUGAAAAUUCUUGGCAUAUGAAAUACAUAGGUUCGCUCCUAGUAUGGUUACUAGGUUUUCUCUUAGUAUGCUUACUUGAUUGAAUAGUUUGUUGGUAGAAAAUGACGACCUUCAGCUCGAAGCAAUUCACACUACAAAGUGAGAGAGAUGAUAGAAGAGAAGGAAACAAGGCUUCCUGAAAUAAAGUCGGAUGGCAGAAUGGCAUAGAGCAACAGAAGACCACUGUUUGUGAGAAGGAUUUCCUGAGAAAGUUUGUUUCCUUGUGUUGACACCGGCCUAAGAGACUUUAGAAGAGGAUCAUGGGCGAAGGUCGAAUAUUCAGCGUGAAUAAACCGAAACUUCGUAUGUCUCUGCAAACAAGAACCAUAGAAGUCCACUUGCGCGUGAGACUCUGGGCAGAGGAAGGUGCGCACGUUUCACUGGUUAAAUAUAUUUUUGUGAAUACUAAAGAAACUGUUAUAAAAGGCCCGGUACAUAAAAUUGGAUACAUGGAAAGACAUAUGAAGGCUGGCAUAGUUCUAACAUUUAACUUUCAACAUAAGAAAUAAUGGACUUUCAGAAAAUUAACAAUUAAAUGUUUCAAUACAAAAUCUCUUGAAACAGUGGUUAAGUUAUUUUAAAUUUAGCUUUUUAGUAUUGUAUUAUUUGUAUUAUUAUUUAGUAUUGCUUAUUGCAAUAUUUUAGUAUAUAUUUCUAUUUUAGCUUGUUAUCGCUUUAUUUAUAUACGUUAAAAAUAUAGAGAGUCACCAGCUCUAAUGUGGUUUUGUGAGUGAUAUAAAACUAGGGGGAAGAAGUGGAGGAUAAUCCCAAAGGUUAUCCGACUUGCAUUGUGCGUCUAAAGAGCGACAGCAUAGUUUAUAAGUAUAAACAUGGUAUAAACACCGAGAUAACCAGUGAGUACUGCUAGUCGUUACAUGGAGAGAUAAGUGCUAACCUUGUUAUUAAAAGAAUGAAUACGAUUUUUAAAUUUAGUUAUUUUCCCACCGUAAAAAGGCUAGUUAUACCCACAGUAAAAAUCGUAUGAUCUUUUUUUUUCUUAUCCUUAUUCUGUUUUUCUGUCGACUUGUCUGUGCAUGAUAAAAGAAUAAACGACAGGGAAAAGUGAUGUAGUAAUAAGCAGAAUAAAAUGAAUUAUAAAGAAUAUGACUUGUCUGAUAUAAGGAUUGGUGAUAAUAGACUGGUAGCAAAGCAUGAAGGCAUGAAACGUUUUUAUUAUUUGCAUUAAACAUUCUGUAAAGAGUAAAAGCACAACAAAACGAUGAAGUAGCUUAGACCAAGAUAUUUAAAAAGAAAGUAAGAAAGUUUUGACUCUAGGGUGACAAAUGUUUUAUGAAGAACUGGCUUCCUUGUAUAAAGAGAUAAAAGCUUAGUCUUAUGCAGAGAAAUUUUUAACAUAAACUUUGGUAAAGUGUCUGUUUCCAUGUGCAAAUACAACUACAGACACUUAUGUUCAUGGGCAUUUAAAAACUUGUCUUUAUGCAUAGAUUAUUUUAACACACACACAUACAUAUACUGAUAUAAUGAAAUGAGGAACUUACCUUACGCGUUGAUUUUUACUGUAGAAUUGUUUGUGUCGGUCUCAUAUGUUUAUAUGUAUGAUUGGCUCUGUAUUACCCCUAUGUAUUUCACUAACAGGGGUAUAGCAGGGUAUUCUACUCGAUGUAGUUGUGGUUUCUUUUUACACAGGGUGUGUGGACUCAAAGUGUUCUCCCCUACGAAAGUAGUACAGAGGUAAAAGGGUAUUCGUCAUCUUCUCUCACACUGCCAAGUGUACAAAUCACAGGCCUACAGAUGGGAGCAGUGAUCCGUACGAAAAUGUAAGAGGAAACUUACCAAGAAACCAGAGUUCCAUGAAAUGAAGCUGGAGAGCAGAGUGGCAGAGAGAGCGUACCCCGAGAGAGACCGCUGUUUCUAAGAAGAAAUCCGUAAAAGUUUCCUUGAAUCAACACUUACUCAGGGGCAUUUAGAGAAGACUCAUGGUGGAGAGGACUGUGUCUAGAACUGUUGGAGAAGCUGGAGACACCAUUCUGUAAUGGGAUGUUGAUGGACUGAUCAACUCAGACCUAGUUAAACAAUCACGAGUUCGCCCGAGCCACUGGAAUAAAAACAAAAUAUUCUAAUAUAUUCUAUAAUUUUCUGGAGGGAAAAGAUUUUCCCAUCCAAUGUACAGCCUGUUACAGACAAGCUAAAAGGCAAUGAGAGGUUGAUGCCGAGACCAAUGGUCGUGAUUACUGUUUUGUUGUAAUGAACAAUUUAUAAAUUGAAAGCAGGUGUCAAAGAGUAUUUCACUGUUUGAGGUCUGACUGUUGAAAAAAUGAAUAGUAAAGGAACUGUUAUGUAAGUGUAAGAUCUGGUACAUACAAAAGGACAAAUGAAGAUGAUCUGAGUACAGGCCCAUUGAUUUUUUAUGUUGAAAGUUUAUUGUUAGAGCUAUUCCAGAUUUUAUUGCUUAGCUUUAAAGCACACAAACUGACACGAUGGCAUGUGGAACAUAUCUUAGGAGUUGAUUUUCAGAGUAGCAUUAAUUUUCGGUCUUGUAUAUUUUUAUGUAUGUUUACUUUUCUUAUUACACCUCUGUAUUUCUUUAACAGGGGGAGUACAUGACAUCCAACUAGAUAUAGCUGUGGUUUCAUUUACAGGUUGUGUGGACACAAAGUGUACUCCCUCUAUUAAAGUAAUGCAGAGGCAAAAGGGUAUUCGUCAUCUUCUCUCACACUGCCUAGCUUUUUCAUACAUUAUACAAAUUUUAUAACAAAAUGUGCAUUAGAUUGUUCAGAAUUUUAUUUCGAGAUUCUUUUUGGCUUUUAGCUGACAUUUAUUACGAGAAAAGCAGGUAUACAAUCUUAUCCUGUACUAAUUUCCAGAACAAAUUUUCAGAUUGUAAUUAUGUUGAGCAUUUUAAAAACUUAAGCAAUGCUGUUCAUAUCUACAACAUGUACAUGUCUUCAAUUUAUUUCCAUUUUCUUGCAUGGAAUAUAUUCAGCUGUGUCUACUGUUAAUCAACCAAUCUCCCCUUUCACUCAGAAUGAUAUGUGACCAUCACCAUGACAUACAAAACCACAAUCAGAGUAAGCGAAGGUAGACAAACUUAAUAUUAAUGGGCUAAAUCAGGGAUGCCCAACCUACGGCCCGCGGGCCAUAUCCGGCCCGCGACACGGUGCAAUCCGGCCCGCGAAACUUCUGCCCACAGUGCAGGAAAUCGGCAUGUUAGUAAUAAAAGAAGAC
This is an RNA transcript of Pomacea canaliculata, 5608 nucleotides long. RefSeq lists it as uncharacterized. The record is from RefSeq and is a predicted model, not a curated record. Lineage: Eukaryota; Metazoa; Mollusca; Gastropoda; Architaenioglossa; Ampullariidae. The transcript is spliced from 11 exons.